This is a long non-coding RNA of Lathyrus oleraceus (garden pea), 719 nucleotides long. RefSeq lists it as uncharacterized. The transcript has 3 exons. NCBI's taxonomy places the organism in Eukaryota, Viridiplantae, Streptophyta, Magnoliopsida, Fabales, Fabaceae. The record is from RefSeq and is a predicted model, not a curated record.
GGACGUUUUACCUUUGGUGGUGAUGGUGAGCUUAAACCUCUUCACUCCGCUAGGUUCCUCCUGCAGUCAACAAAAUCAAGCUCCGCUUCCAAAAGAUUAGGGUUUUCGGAUGUGGCCUCUAGAGCUCAAAGAAGAAAAUUUCCAGAAGUCUUUUUGAUGCUCAGAAGUGCUUUUAUCUUGUUUCACGCUACACUUCCGGAAACGGUUAUGGUUGGUUGAUUUGUGGUUUCGUCCAAUGCAUCAAUAUCCAUUGAUUCUAAAAUAUUCUGAUUUUGAUGAUUGUGUGUCGCACUGGGAAGUUGGGACUGCCAAAAUGUUGACUGUUGAAUAGCUGUGGAAUCGCUUGCACGAGCAUUGCUUUUCUUAACCUUCUUCAACUUCCUCAAGAAAUACCAGAAUUUGGAUUUGGCACGAACUUCAUUGGUUGCCCAAAGCUUCAUGCGGUAAAUCUUCGGGUGCUCAUCGGUUUCCGUUGGAAGACCCCUUCCGACGACCCGGUACUGGUGAAACUUUGCCUUAACCAUUUUUACGAUGAGCAGCGGUUCCGAUUGCGACUCGCCGCCGAUUCAAUUUUUGCUGUUUUGUGAAUUAUUGUUUGUUGCAGGUGAACAAAUGGUGUUAUUGCAGAAGUUGGUAUGCUGUUUGCCACCAUUUAUUUUGUUAAUUUUCUCUUCUAUUUCCAAGUCAAACUCAGGCUCAUGACUCUGAAACUCGGUUUU